Molecule: ribosomal RNA, 433 nt
Filed under: uncultured bacterium
Lineage: Bacteria
Description: partial 16S ribosomal RNA
Rfam family: Bacterial small subunit ribosomal RNA
Source: RNAcentral
AACGAACGCUGGCGGCAUGCCUAACACAUGCAAGUCGAACGAGACCUUCGGGUCUAGUGGCGCACGGGUGCGUAACGCGUGGGAACCUGCCCUUAGGUUCGCAAUCACUCCCCGAAAGGGGGCCUAAUAUCGGCUAAUGUCUUCGGAGCAAACGUUUAUCGACCUUGGAUGGGCCCGCGUUGGAUCAGACGGUUGGUAGGGUAAAAGCUUACCAAGGCGACGUUCCAUAGAUUGUCUGAGAGAAAGGUCAGCCACACUGGGACUGAGACGCGGCGCGGACUCCUACGCAAGGGAGCAAAGCGGGAUAUUGGCCAGUUGUGGGAAGGCUGAACCCGUCACGGCUGGUGAGUGGUGAAGGACGUAGGGUUGUACAGCUCUUUAACCCGGGAUGAUAAUGACGGUACCGGAAGAAUAAGCUCCGGCUAACUCCGUG